This 2890-nucleotide ribosomal RNA is filed under the name Aeromonas sp. FDAARGOS 1414. RNAcentral describes it as "23S ribosomal RNA". It matches the Rfam family "Bacterial large subunit ribosomal RNA". The record is from RNAcentral. Lineage: Bacteria; Pseudomonadati; Pseudomonadota; Gammaproteobacteria; Aeromonadales; Aeromonadaceae.
GGUUAAGUGACUAAGCGUACAUGGUGGAUGCCUUGGCAGUCAGAGGCGAUGAAGGACGUACUAACCUGCGAUAAGCUGUGAGAAGUCGGUAAGAGACGCUAUUACUCACAGAUUUCCGAAUGGGGAAACCCACCCAAGAUAACUUGGGUAUCGUUACAUGAAUAAAUAGUGUGACGAGGCGAACCGGGAGAACUGAAACAUCUAAGUACCCCGAGGAAAAGAAAUCAACCGAGAUUCCCUCAGUAGCGGCGAGCGAACGGGGAUUAGCCCUUAAGCAUCUUGGAAGUUAGUGGAACGGUCCUGGAAAGGCCGGCGAUACAGGGUGAUAGCCCCGUACACGAAAACAACCUUGAUGUGAAAUCGAGUAGGGCGGGACACGUGACAUCCUGUCUGAAUAUGGGGGGACCAUCCUCCAAGGCUAAAUACUCCUGACUGACCGAUAGUGAACCAGUACCGUGAGGGAAAGGCGAAAAGAACCCCUGUGAGGGGAGUGAAAUAGAACCUGAAACCGUGUACGUACAAGCAGUGGGAGCCCUUCGGGGUGACUGCGUACCUUUUGUAUAAUGGGUCAGCGACUUACAUUUUGUAGCGAGGUUAACCGUAUAGGGGAGCCGUAGGGAAACCGAGUCUUAACUGGGCGUCUAGUUGCAAGGUGUAGACCCGAAACCGGGUGAUCUAGCCAUGGGCAGGUUGAAGGUUGAGUAACAUCAACUGGAGGACCGAACCCACUAACGUUGCAAAGUUAGGGGAUGACCUGUGGCUGGGGGUGAAAGGCCAAUCAAACUCGGAGAUAGCUGGUUCUCCCCGAAAGCUAUUUAGGUAGCGCCUCGGACGAAUACUACUGGGGGUAGAGCACUGUUUGGGCUAGGGGGUCAUCCCGACUUACCAACCCCAUGCAAACUCCGAAUACCAGUAAGUAAUAUCCGGGAGACACACGGCGGGUGCUAACGUCCGUCGUGAAGAGGGAAACAACCCAGACCGCCGGCUAAGGUCCCAAAGUUCUGGUUAAGUGGGAAACGAUGUGGGAAGGCUCAGACAGCUAGGAUGUUGGCUUAGAAGCAGCCAUCAUUUAAAGAAAGCGUAAUAGCUCACUAGUCGAGUCGGCCUGCGCGGAAGAUGUAACGGGGCUCAAACCAGGCACCGAAGCCGCGGAUUCACACUUAUGUGUGAGUGGUAGGGGAGCGUUCUGUAAGUCUGCGAAGGUGUAUCGAGAGGUAUGCUGGAGAUAUCAGAAGUGCGAAUGCUGACGUAAGUAACGAUAAAGGGGGUGAAAAGCCUCCUCGCCGGAAGACCAAGGGUUCCUGUCCAACGUUAAUCGGGGCAGGGUGAGUCGACCCCUAAGGCGAGGCCGAAAGGCGUAGUCGAUGGGAAGCAGGUUAAUAUUCCUGCACGACUUGUAAUUGCGAUGGGGGGACGGAGAAGGCUAGGUGGGCCAGGCGACGGUUGUCCUGGUGAAAGUGCGUAGGUGGUGUUUCUAGGCAAAUCCGGAGACACAACACUGAGACACGAGACGAACACACUACGGUGUGGAAGCCAUUGAUGCCCUGCUUCCAGGAAAAGCCUCUAAGCUUCAGAUUACAAGUCAUCGUACCCCAAACCGACACAGGUGGUCGGGUAGAGAAUACCAAGGCGCUUGAGAGAACUCGGGUGAAGGAACUAGGCAAAAUAGAACCGUAACUUCGGGAGAAGGUUCGCUCUUGACAGUGAAGUCCCUUGCGGAUGGAGCAGUUGGGAGUCGCAGUGACCAGAUGGCUGGGACUGUUUAUCAAAAACACAGCACUCUGCAAACACGAAAGUGGACGUAUAGGGUGUGACACCUGCCCGGUGCCGGAAGGUUAAUUGAUGGGGUUAGCGCAAGCGAAGCUCUUGAUCGAAGCCCCGGUAAACGGCGGCCGUAACUAUAACGGUCCUAAGGUAGCGAAAUUCCUUGUCGGGUAAGUUCCGACCUGCACGAAUGGUGUAACCAUGGCCAUGCUGUCUCCACCCGAGACUCAGUGAAAUCGAAUUCGCCGUGAAGAUGCGGUGUACCCGCGGCUAGACGGAAAGACCCCGUGAACCUUUACUACAGCUUGGCACUGAACAUUGAACCUACAUGUGUAGGAUAGGUGGGAGGCUUUGAAGGCGUGACGCCAGUUGCGCUGGAGCCGUCCUUGAAAUACCACCCUUGUAUGUUUGAUGUUCUAACGCAGGGCCCUGAAUCGGGCUCGCGGACAGUGCCUGGUGGGUAGUUUGACUGGGGCGGUCUCCUCCCAAAGAGUAACGGAGGAGCACGAAGGUUGGCUAAUCCUGGUCGGACAUCAGGAGGUUAGUGCAAUGGCAUAAGCCAGCUUAACUGCGAGACGGACAGGUCGAGCAGGUACGAAAGUAGGUCAUAGUGAUCCGGUGGUUCUGAAUGGAAGGGCCAUCGCUCAACGGAUAAAAGGUACUCCGGGGAUAACAGGCUGAUACCGCCCAAGAGUUCAUAUCGACGGCGGUGUUUGGCACCUCGAUGUCGGCUCAUCACAUCCUGGGGCUGAAGUCGGUCCCAAGGGUAUGGCUGUUCGCCAUUUAAAGUGGUACGCGAGCUGGGUUCAGAACGUCGUGAGACAGUUCGGUCCCUAUCUGCCGUGGGCGUUGGAUGAUUGAAGGGAGUUGCUCCUAGUACGAGAGGACCGGAGUGAACGAACCUCUGGUGUUCGGGUUGUCACGCCAGUGGCACUGCCCGGUAGCUAAGUUCGGAAUCGAUAACCGCUGAAAGCAUCUAAGCGGGAAGCGAGCCCUGAGAUGAGUCAUCCCUGACCCCUUGAGGGUCCUAAAGGGCCGUUGGAGACCACAACGUUGAUAGGCGGGGUGUGUAAGUGCAGCGAUGCAUUGAGCUAACCCGUACUAAUUACCCGUGAGGCUUAACCAU